UGCCCCGUGGAGAAGUUGGGUAUCUCGCCAGGCUCAUAACCUGGAGGCCGCUGGUUCGAAUCCAGCCGGGGCCAC
Molecule: transfer RNA, 75 nt
Filed under: Posidoniimonas corsicana
Lineage: Bacteria; Pseudomonadati; Planctomycetota; Planctomycetia; Pirellulales; Lacipirellulaceae
Description: Planctomycetes bacterium KOR34 tRNA-Met
Rfam family: tRNA
About the family: Transfer RNA (tRNA) molecules are approximately 80 nucleotides in length.
Source: RNAcentral